Podarcis muralis (Common wall lizard) is the source of this 7052-nucleotide non-coding RNA. The record is from RefSeq and is a predicted model, not a curated record. Lineage: Eukaryota; Metazoa; Chordata; Lepidosauria; Squamata; Lacertidae.
CCAGGGAGGAAGCCGCGCUCGACUACGCUUGUUUUCUAGGCCAAGGGUUCAGGGUUGCAGCUCGGCGGCCGCGGAGAGGCUUGUCUCGGGCAGCUGCGACUCCUGACGUCCGACCGCACGAGCCUUUCAUCGGAGGGAUUCUUUUUCUCGUUUUCACCCUCGGACAGGUGCGAGCGAAGGGUCGGAUCCGCUUCCUCAAAACGAUUCCUGCAGCGGAGGAAAUGGCCCUUCUCUGGAAAUCUCGGGACACCUGUCCCGGCUCAGAGGGCAACCCGUAGCCGCGCGUCCCCGUCCCCCAUUUUGCUCGCGGCAACCACUUAUGGCGGCCUCCCCGUUAGUGCCGAGCGCCUUCCUUCCCCCCCGCCACCCGCCGGCUUCGACUCCUGCCUGCGCACGGAGCCCGCUUCCCGGCCCGCCUGCUCGCAGCCCCUCCGGCGGGAGCCGAGCGAGCGAGGGAGGGGAAGGCAGGCAGGCAGGCAGGCUGGGGUUUUCGCUCGACGCCCACCAGGGGCUGAGUGAGCCUCCUUCAGUGCGCAAGCUCGGGGCACCAGAUAAAAGCCGGGCUGGCAGCUCUUGCCCUGCCUUGAUGGAGCCGAGACCAUCGAGUGGCAGGAGGAGGGAGUUAGGAACAGGCUUAGAUAAGAGGAGCUCGCUCCCGGUAGGAGGAGGAAGAAGCAGCUGAGGUGGGAAUGGCACUUGUCUGGCUGCCCGACUGGACCCCGCAGAAGGCGGCUGCCAUGGGGCACAGGCUAUGCAGAGGGGACGCGUGGCGGGGCUGCUCGCUUGGGGGUUCCGCCUGUUGCAAUACGAAAUGGCGGCUGCCGUCUCGGGGCGGUUGGUGAUUGUCGCGCCGCGAGGUUGUUGUUCUCCUCCCUCCUCCUCCCUCUGCCCUUCUUCCCUCCCUCCCCUCCCUGUCUUUGGCCGUUUCUCCGCAGCGAACCGCGGAGAGCGCACUGAGUCAGGAGGAGGCGGGGGGAGCGGCGGCCGCCGCGCAGCCAAUCAGCUCUGCGGACGGGCCGCGGAGGCGCGCUCCGAUUGGCCGGCGCUGACAUCAUCCUGCAGCAGGGGCAGACGCAGCUGCUGGGCAGGGCUCGGGGAGCUGUCGGGGGUGGCUGGUGCAAAGGGAGAAAACGGGCGCCAUGAUACCGGCCGCGGUGGAGGCAGCAAUUCAAGUACAGCGGAGAAGUACAGCUGAAUAAGAAAUGAUUAUUUUAAGUGUUACACGAAGAGUAGAAACCCUUGAGGAAUUUCAGUAAGUCCAAAAAUGAUUAGUAUUUCAGACAGAGAAGUCUUGAACUCUGCCAGAUAUCAAAGGAAUACUCGUAGUUUGUGUGACAGAAUCAUCAGGUACAACCCAAAAACAUCAGCCAAGAACAAAACCAGUUCACUCAAGAUACUGAUUCUAAGAUACACAACUGCUUUUGUGGAGACUGACAGACACAGCUCAUGUGAACGUUCAUACUGAAAAAACCCAUUUGGUGAAGUGGAACUCUUGGAAGUUACAUCCUGACUGAGAAGUGUCUGAUGGGUGGGGGAAACAUCCAGAUUUGGAUAAACUGCAUAAUGGACUUGACUUCAGCCACAGGGUGUUACUACCACCAUUGGUUUAUGUGCUUCAGUCAUCCUGUUUCAUUGCCAUUUAUCUUAGCCCAUAACCAAGGACACCCAGAUCAUCAAGGCAAGAUGUUCAAUUUCCACAAGAUAGGUGGGUAUCUUGGUGAACCUUUAGCCAUUAUGCAAAAAUGCCCAUAUUCAGAAAAAGUAAUAUACCAGGAUAUUUUGAGAGCUGGUAAUUAUAGGUGAAAUAGCAGGGAGAAGUUGAGUUGCUUCUCUGGGUUUCCUACAAGGUUUUUGGAGAGAAACGGCACAGUGACAAAGUGACUUCCAAAAAGAUAUGGCGAUUUGUUCAUACUCUGAGUGUGAUCUGUGUCCAAGAGCAACGCCAAGGUGGCCUUGGGACAAAUCUCUAGUUCAUGAAAUUUUUAGACAUCUGAUUGGUUUUCUAAUGCUUUGGGGAAAGAGUUACUAAAUUAAGUGCAAGAGAAGUGCUUCACAAUCCAGCAUGCUGCAGUGCAUCCAAAAUAAUUCAUGUCACAUUUGCAAGUUACUCAUAAGCAUUCACCUCCACAGGCAGUACUUCAAAGGUAUUGCAAGAUGCUCUUCCAAAUAGUCGUGUCUGUCCUUGCAAGGAAGCAAUCUGAUUUGGAUAAUCAGUUACUCAAAAAGCGGAAGCUGUAGUUUGGGAAACACCUUUCUGAAGUUGGUGUUCCAACAAUAAGGGCCAGCAGUGUGCCCCUGAGUGGGCACAAUUCCUUCCAUGCCAUGAAUGGCACAUAGUGUGUAAUUAAUGCAAAUAAGUUCUUUCCAUGCAGUGAACCCAGCUCCAGAACCCAGGAGAACUAUUGAAUUUUCUCUUGUGAAGGACAUUGUGAAUUUCCAAAAACAAGAUGUACUGUCUAUUUUGUCAAAACUGCUAUAAGUUUGCUCAACUUUUCUGUGUGUGGGUGAAUGUAACAGGAAAUUUGGUGGUGGUGAGUAACAUAGUUUGCAGUAAAAAGACGGUAAGAGAAUAGUAUAAUUGUUACUCGGACCACAAAAAUUGUUCAUACUUCACCUUGUUGUUCAUCGUGAACACUUGAAAUAAAGCCAGUAUAAAUUUAUUUGUUUCCAAGUAAAGGCAGUCAAGUGAAAUUGGCAUUUGAGCCAAACAUUUAGAACGGUGGGUGGGGAACGUGUGGCUCUCCAUAUGUUGUUGGACUCCCAAAGCCAUAAUCUCCAGCCAGCAUGGCCAAUGAUGGGAGUUGUUACUUUCUGGAGGGCUACAGGUUAGCCACCCUUGAGUUAGAGCUAAACCCUAGAAUGUCACAGCUUAUAUAGAAAGUAUAAAAAAAAAACCUAGGUAUUCAAAUUCUGUCUUCUGACUAUUUUGAGUGAAAGAAGGUUCAAGCUGGUUUUCUCUCUUCAGAUACGCCUUCCUUAAAAGAUGUGGGUAUAUUUAGCUGAAUUGAGAAACCACCUGGUGGCUUCUCAGCACAGUUCACUUGGGCUGCCUGUAUGUUUACCACAGCUUCAAAAAAAAGUGCAUUUGAUUUGGACAAGACAUUUUUGUAUUUGUACUGAACUGUGUUUGGAAGGAAUAUACUGAAAACAAAUAUGGCCAGGCAAGCAAAUGUAGUGAAGUACUGACCUUAGAACAUAGAAUAUGCUUUUGGAAUAGAAAUAGACCACAUCUUCCUACUGAAAAAAUGCAGAUAUUGUGGCAGCAGAUUGGAUGUUGUGUUGGAGAAUUUUCAGGAAAAUCUAUUCCGCAGAUGUGAAUAUCCUGUGCGCACUGUGAUCCUUAUAAGAUGGACAAGUUUCUUUAGGAAGGCUUCGGAGAGGCUCUUCAUGUGCCUUUACCUACAGAGGUUAGGUGGGUGACUAUGAAAUUGAUUUCUCGGUAGCCCUGUCCUAGUUUUGGAAUGCCCUCCCCAGGGUAAUUUGCCAUACUUGUAAGAUGUUUACAUACCAGUUGAAAAUACUUUUGAGGAUUAGCAGUCUCUGCUAACUCUUCCCUGCUGGUUGUGUUCCUGUUGUGAUGUCUUGCCGUUUUUUACUCCCAACUUUUUUUACUGUGUAUAAUCUUUCCCGCAGCUUCAAAAGUGGGGCAUUCCAUGCAGUGCAAGAAGAAGCCCUUGUCCCCUUCUUCAAUCCCAUCUUGGAGCAGAUUAAGAGCGAAGGGUAGCUUUGGUUCUGUUUGGUGGCUACUUGGAGCAUCCAGCAAAUGCAGAGAAGCUUUUGCUUCACCUUCGCCCUCAAGCUCAGAGGUGAUGGUGAGAAGAAUAUUAACUUUCCUUUGUAUUUGCCAGGUGCCCUGAAUGCCUGCCUGCCUCCCCCCUUUGAGGCAGGUGCGGAGACAGGAUAGGGCCAAAAAAACCUUGAGGCUCCUGCCUAAUUUGGGAGCUGAGGAAAGAAUGAGAAAACUCUCUGCAUCUCCAUGACUGUGAGGAAGCCUUGGAAACAUCACCUUUAAUAGAGGCUGAGAUUUGCUGCGGUAAGCAAGUUUGAGCCCCCCUGACAGGGAAGACCAUAGAAUGUAAACAAGCCCCCCCCCCCCAAAAAAAAGACAUGAGAAAAAAAUGCAAAUUUGGGCAAUGGGAUUCUAAAAGCAUUGGAGUCUGAGGUUUGGUUAGAUGUAGGUUUUUGGUACUGGAGGAUUAUUUAACUUAAGCUUGUCUUAAGCUUAUCUUGUGUUUAAAAGCAAUUUUCAUGUUGCUACUUCUGUCACUGUUAUUAAGGCUAGGGGAAAAUGUAAGGCCCACUUGACAACACAAGGGAUGAGCAGACUACUUUGGAAGCAUUUAUAGGCCUCGCUGCUUGCACGUCAGGGUUUUAGGAGUUGCUAAAACAAUGCCAGUAACUAUAGCCUGUUAACUUUAUAAUCUGAGAUACUGUUUUUUACGUCAUUAGAUGUGCACAUAAGUCUGAAAUUUUUGGGGAACAAAUAACGGUGCAUCACCUUUCCAUAGGGAGGUUGACAUCCAGAACUGUGACAAACCUGGAUUGCGAGGCAGCCUUGGUGAUGGUGGGACAAGAGCAUUGAGCAGCUCCCAAGCUGCUUGUUUGAAAAGGAAAUCACAUAAGUGCACGAGGGUGUUCUCAGCAUCUUGCAAAGCCUCUGAACUUCAAUCACUUGUAUCCCAGCUAGUGCAAUCCUGAAUUACUUCAAGAGAAUGAAAUCAACUGUCUUCGCAGACUUGAAAGUAGAACAAUGUGGAUUUCAUUUCUGGUAAAAGGAGGAUUUCUUCAGCCCUUAAGCUACAUUCUAGAUGCCUGUGUAUUAACCAAAGUAGCCUCAGGUUUUGUUGCUCUUUUCAGUGGCAGCUUUUAGAUUUGAAUACCAGGUUCAAAUCUCUCUUCUUCAAGCCCAACUGGUGACCUUGGGCAAAUGGCUGUCAAAACUGUACACACAGCAGUUUAAAUUGGUUUCAUUGCAUCCCAUGUGUGCAUGUUUGUUUGUUUUUUGCAUCGUCAACAUGAUGCCCUCAUCCAACUGGCAGCCUUCACCCCUCCUCCAAUUUAAUGUGGAUUUUCCUGCUCUGAACAGUAUGGGGGGGCACACAUACAGUUGUAUAUGGCUCAACUGUGGGCAUACUGAAGUGAAUUGUGUGGGGUGGGUUCUUGUGUUUUGCUGGGUGCCAUCUAACACUAUAUUGGCUGCUACUUUGGUGAGGUGCCCCUUCGUGAGUGGGUGGGGGGCAGGCGUGACACAUACUAUUAUUAUUAUUAUUAUUAUUAUUAUUAUUAUUAUUUAUUAAACUAUAUUGUGUAACUCUGAUAUACCAGAAAACCCAUAUCUCAAAAAAUUAAAAAAAAUGGCUAUACAUGCAGCUAAAACGGCUGCCUGCAUGCCUACAUUGGUACAUAUGUUGUGCAUACGAAGAUGAAACUUGGGCAAGCUCUACUAGGAAGAGUUGUGCAAGGUCCUGUCCAUUAAUCCACGGUCCCCUUUCUCCCACUGGAGUAAGCUGUAUUCUCCUUUUAUAUGCAGCAGAAGGAGAGGAACACGUGAUUUGUUCCGAAAGGCAGGCUUCAAGUUCUCCAGGUAUUAGAAGGCUUGAAGAAGCUGUUGUCCUGCUAAAAGAACAAGGCAAGUUAACGAAUGCAGGCCCAAAGGUCUUUACGUGGUUGACGGCUCUAAAAUGCACCCAGCCAUUCUAAAGAAAGUACGAGUUUAAAAGCAAGUGAGAGAAGCAAUAACACAAUAAGAUACAGAAACGAAGAAAGAAAAGACCACAGAGAGGUAGAAGUUGAUUUUCCUGUUGCUAAGAUAUUUUUUUCCUGUGCAGCUAAGCAGGCAAAUACUGUAAACAAAAGCUGAGACUUUUAGCAAGAGCAAACCACUACUUGUGCUACCGCUGUUGUUGCUCCUGGACAAGGCUGUAGUAAUCUCAAUUUCCUUAUCUUUUGCUUAAAUUUAAUUACCACAAUGAGGUGGGAGUUUUUCUCAACUAUGUCUAGACUUCAAAACACUGGUGUUGGGGAGUUGAUAAGAGUUUUGGCCUUGGACCAGGGAGGAAGGAUUUCAAUCCCUGUCCAGCUUUCAACUCGCUGGGUGAGCUCAAGGCAGACUUUUAACUCUUCCUUACCCUCCCAUACUUCUCAGAGCUCUUGAAGGCAGCAACUUGAACUUGUCAAAGAAACUUUCCAUUUUAAAUUCCAUCUCUUACAGACACCCCCCCCCAAUCUUUCUUUAUUGCUGGCUUGCAUAGCCGAAGAACACCGAGACUGAACAUAAAGUGAAACUGGCUUCUCCCAACUUAUGCCUCUCUGUGUUCCACUUCUGGAGGCUGUGGGACAAAGCAGUCCUGCUUGCUCUGGCAUGGUGGCAAAUAGGACAGAGAGCGGAAUUUACACCUGUUAGUCUUGCCAAGCCUUGGUUCAUAUCUGAACUUGACCGCAACAUCAAGCAAUGACCUGCAUCUGUGAAAGUUCCAGGCAGAGCUUUACUCACCUAAAGAUCAACAUACGUAGCCUGCUGCAAGUCAUCAAGUGAUAUAUGUGCAUGGGUGAAUAACCCCUUAAUAGUGCAAAUAAGAAUUUUUAUUCUUCACGGACUUUUGAACUGUUCAUCAAUAAAUGAGAAAGGGCAAGCACUCCCAUUUUAUGCAGUAAGGUCUGGCUAACACCCCGGGUAUCCUGCAUUUGCCCUCUAGAACACGGCAGCGGUUUCCUAGCAGACAAGUUAAUGUGAAGAGUUUUGUAAACAGGAAGUUAGAAAAACCACAAAACUUGCCUUCUUACGGGGUGAUAAAUGGUAAGUCAAACUGAAGUUUUGUUUUCCAGCUUUGUUUUCCUGUAUUUUCACAAAUAAAUGGUUCUGGCGAUAGGCUACCAUAGGCUGAGACCUGAUGAUAUUCCUCCUAGACAGUAAUGAAAAUCCAGGAACCCUGUCCUCUAGAGCUGCUACGCCUUCAAGUAUUGCCUGCCAGUAUAUAAUAACAGACUUAGUACUGGAAUGAAAGAUGUUAGAAAUACACUCUCCUUCCUGCAAUAAAACUGAAUAAAUGCUG